This 497-nucleotide ribosomal RNA is filed under the name uncultured bacterium. RNAcentral's name for it is "partial 16S ribosomal RNA". It matches the Rfam family "Bacterial small subunit ribosomal RNA", at positions 28 to 507 of the family's 1533-position model. The record is from RNAcentral.
GAUGAACGCUGGCGGCGUGCCUAAUACAUGCAAGUCGAGCGAACGGACGAGAAGCUUGCCUUUCUGAUGUUAGCGGCGGACGGGUGAGUAACACGUGGAUAACCUACCUAUAAGACUGGGAUAACUUCGGGAAACCGGAGCUAAUACCGGAUAAUAUUUUGAACGGCAUGGUUCAAAAGUGAAAGACGGUCUUGCUGACACUAAUAGAUGGAUCCGCGCUGCAUUAGCUAGUUGGUAAGGUAACGGCUUACCAAGGCAACGAUGCAUAGCCGACCUGAGAGGAUGAUCAGCCACACUGGAGCUGAGACACGGUCCAGACUCCUACGGGAGGCAGCAGUAGGGAAUCUUCCGCAAUGGGCGAAAGCCUGACGCAGCAACGCCGCGUGUGUGAUGAAGGUCUUCGGAUCGUAAAACUCUGUUAUUAGGGAAGAACAUAUGUGUAAGUAACUGUGCACAUCUUGACGGUACCUAAUCAGAAAGCCCCGGCUAACUACGUG